AAUAUUGCGCAAUGGAGGGAACUCUGACGCAGCGACGCCGCGUGAGCGAUGAAGGUCNNNGGAUCNUCAAGCUCUUUCCUUGGNGACNUAGGUCUUCGGACUUGACGGUACCUAAGCAUGAAGCCCCGGCUAACUACGUUCCCGCAGCCGCGGUAAUACGUACGGGGCAAGCGUUGUCCGGAAUUAUUGGGCGUAAAGGGUGCGUAGGCGGCCUUCUAAGUCAGAUGUGAAGGCCCACGGCUUAACCGUGGGACUGCAUUUGAAACUGGAGGGCUUGAGUAUCGGAGAGGGUAGUGGAAUUCCCAGUGUAGCGGUGGAAUGCGUAGAUAUUGAGAGGAACACCAGUGGCGAAGGCGACUACCUGGACGAAAACUGACGCUGAGGCACGAAAGCUAGGGGAGCAAAC
RNAcentral lists this ribosomal RNA (406 nucleotides) under uncultured bacterium. Its description in RNAcentral is "partial 16S ribosomal RNA". It matches the Rfam family "Bacterial small subunit ribosomal RNA", at positions 360 to 773 of the family's 1533-position model. The record is from RNAcentral.